Humulus lupulus (European hop) is the source of this 862-nucleotide long non-coding RNA. RefSeq lists it as uncharacterized. The record is from RefSeq and is a predicted model, not a curated record. The transcript has 3 exons. Lineage: Eukaryota; Viridiplantae; Streptophyta; Magnoliopsida; Rosales; Cannabaceae.
UUUUUACCAGAUUGUUUUAACUUUUUCAAUUUCAGUUUUACCUCAUUCUCUCAAUUUCAGUUUUACCUCAUUCUCUCUCCUCCGCCUCUCUCCUUCUCUCUCCUCUGUGUGCGAUUUCUGCCUCUGUUUGGCGAUUGUGGCAAUUUUCUGGGUUGUCAAUCUAAGAAACAUUGGCGAACGAAGGACUAAGGCGAACAAAGCUAUUCAAGUGCUCUACUUUUCCGUCUCUACUUCAGGCAAUGGGACAUCAGGACCAUCACUGCACACGCCCAAAGAGGCCACAAACGUUGGGACCAUCUCUACUCUGCUCACGGUGGUGGACUGACUGUGAUUGACCAUCUCUUCUCUCAGCCAAGCUAUGCAUUAUAUGAUCAAACUAGAGUUUUAGUUUGGAAGUAAGGUUCAACAAUAGAAUAAACAUGAGAUUAUAGCUAAUUUGAACAAAAUUUUCACCAAGAAGCAGAAAUCUAUGUAUAGAAGAACUCCUUUUGGAUGCCAAAAGAAGUUGAUGCUCUGUUGUUUCGCCAAGACAUUGCUUGUUAGUUUGUAUUUUCAUGGGAAGAAGAAACAAGAAGAUGGAUAUUUGACUAACGAUGAGUUCAAUGAUAAGUUUUUAGAGAAAAGGCAUAAGAUGAGGAAGAUUGUUGCAUAGGUUAUUUAAGAAGCUUUUGGAAAUGAUAUUUGACUUUUUUUUUUUAUUUUGUUUAUGUUCUAGACCAGUUUAGCUUUUGUAAAUGAUAUUUGACUUUUAGAAAUGAUGACCAAUAGUUAGUUGCAUACUUAUCUAUUUUUAAACUGCUACUUUUGUAAGACAUUUGUUACUUAAGACUAUUUUAUAUAUCAAUUGAUCUUUUUUGUGUUA